RNAcentral lists this ribosomal RNA (253 nucleotides) under uncultured bacterium. Its description in RNAcentral is "partial 16S ribosomal RNA". It matches the Rfam family "Bacterial small subunit ribosomal RNA", at positions 524 to 776 of the family's 1533-position model. The record is from RNAcentral.
UACGUAGGGGGCUAGCGUUGUCCGGAUUUAUUGGGCGUAAAGAGCGUGUAGGCGGCCAGGUAGGUCCGGUGUGAAAACUCGAGGCUCAACCUCGAGACGCCGGUGGAAACCGUAAAGCUAGAGUCCGGAAGAGGAGAGUGGAAUUCCUGGUGUAGCGGUGAAAUGCGCAGAUAUCAGGAGGAACACCCGUGGCGAAAGCGGCUCUCUGGGACGGUACUGACGCUGAGACGCGAAAGCGUGGGGAGCAAACAGG